AAGUCGUAACAAGGUUUCCGUAGGUGAACCUGCGGAAGGAUCAUUAUUGAAAGUAAAAUGUAGUUGGUUGAGCUGGUCUUUCUGGGACAUGUGCUUACCUUCUGCGCUUUCUUACCUUUCCACCUGUGCACAUUUGUAGACCGUGAAUAGACUCUCGCCUUAAACAAGCGGAUUUGAAGCUCGCAUGAAAGUGCUUGCUUCUACAUAUUCUCAGGUCUAUGUUUCAUACACACUUAAAACACAUCGAAUGUUUGUUUACUGGUUGUAAUAGACCUCUAAAUUAAAUACAACUUUCAGCAACGGAUCUCUUGGCUCUC
RNAcentral lists this unclassified non-coding RNA (317 nucleotides) under Uncobasidium sp. RNAcentral's name for it is "partial internal transcribed spacer region". The stretch from base 1 to 46 matches the Rfam family "Eukaryotic small subunit ribosomal RNA", at positions 1786 to 1831 of the family's 1831-position model. Lineage: Eukaryota; Fungi; Basidiomycota; Agaricomycetes; Polyporales; Meruliaceae. The record is from RNAcentral.